GGGCCUAUAGCUCAGUUGGUUAGAGCAGAGGACUCAUAGCGAAAGUUGUGCCUUAUGCGUGGAAACUGCAUAAGGGAUGGUGUCAAAUUCGGAGAAAGCUAAAGGUAGCUUAUUUAAUAACUACCCAAGCUAACGCCGAGCCAAGCUUCAGUAUGAAAGUGCUGUUGAAGGUGUAGAGACUAGACGGCACCCACCUAAGUUCAGAAAUGAAUACGGUGAAGGCAUAGUCCAGGGAGUAGUGAAAACUACACAAACCGGAAUCCUUUGGUCCCAGGUUCAAGUCCUGGUGGGCCCACCA
RNAcentral lists this transfer RNA (298 nucleotides) under Polynucleobacter sphagniphilus. RNAcentral describes it as "tRNA-Met". The stretch from base 25 to 251 matches the Rfam family "Group I catalytic intron". Rfam says of the family: Group I catalytic introns are large self-splicing ribozymes. Lineage: Bacteria; Pseudomonadati; Pseudomonadota; Betaproteobacteria; Burkholderiales; Burkholderiaceae. The record is from RNAcentral.